AUGAACGCUGGCGGCGUGCCUAAUCCAUGCAAGUCGAGCGAACAGACGAGGAGCUUGCUCCUCUGACGUUAGCGGCGGACGGGUGAGUAACACGUGGAUAACCUACCUAUAAGACUGGGAUAACUUCGGGAAACCGGAGCUAAUACCGGAUAAUAUAUUGAACCGCAUGGUUCCAUAGUGAAAGACGGUUUUGCUGUCACUUAUAGAUGGAUCCGCGCCGCAUUAGCUAGUUGGUAAGGUAACGGCUUACCAAGGCGACGAUGCGUAGCCGACCUGAGAGGGUGAUCGGCCACACUGGAACUGAGACACGGUCCAGACUCCUACGGGAGGCAGCAGUAGGGAAUCUUCCGCAAUGGGCGAAAGCUUGACGGAGCAACGCCGCGUGAGUGAUGAAGGUCUUCGGAUCGUAAAACUCUGUUAUUAGGGAAGAACAAAUGUGUAAGUAACUAUGCACGUCUUGACGGUACCUAAUCAGAAAGCCACGGCUAACUACGUG
Molecule: ribosomal RNA, 496 nt
Filed under: uncultured bacterium
Lineage: Bacteria
Description: partial 16S ribosomal RNA
Rfam family: Bacterial small subunit ribosomal RNA
Source: RNAcentral